RNAcentral lists this long non-coding RNA (2131 nucleotides) under Sorghum bicolor (sorghum). RNAcentral describes it as "long non-coding RNA (SBIC_LNC000577)". The record is from RNAcentral. Lineage: Eukaryota; Viridiplantae; Streptophyta; Magnoliopsida; Poales; Poaceae.
AUCAACAGCUAGGAUGUCCUUAUAGUUUGCAAUAUUGUACACAUGCAGGGUGAAAUGCUUAAAAAUGAGUAGGACAACAAGGUAGGCCCAUGCUAUACUUGCCUUGAUUCACGUACUCCUGCUGGUCUUGCUGGUCCUGCUGAUCCCUAAAGAGCUCCGGACUCCCGAAAUACUCCUCACCGUCUGGGCUCGAUCAAUACAUCACAAUCAUCACGCAUACCAAGACAAACAUGCAAGAGAACAAUUCCUAAAGUUAGAACAGUACACCAGCAGUAAAUAAAUUAAAUAAAAGUUUUCCAAAAUCAUCUACGUGCUGCUACGAUCACGUCAACGCGAAAUUCACGAAAAACGGACCUACGACGCGAAAGUUACGCUCUUAACGGGAUUUCAACAGCAAUAUACGGACUGGUAAUUAACUAGGAAAUCUAACAGUGGUAAACCUGUACCAACGAGAAGCUUACGAAAUUACGAAACUAACGCAACUUGAACGGAUCGAUUCGGAGUUCAAACGACGAUUUUAUAGCUAAAACAAUGCGGUGGCAAUUCUGUAAAUAAGGCAGAGUUUAAACGAAUUUAAAUAAAUAAAUUAAAUCCUGGAAAUUCCUCUGGCCGAGGACUGCGCGCGCAAAAUUGGGAUUCCCGGGGGUCUCUUUAUCAAAAAUGCCCUCGAAGGGGUACGGGACAUUGUAGGCCGUUGGAUCACAGAUAAACGUGCUGGAUUAAAAGAAAAAAAAUAAAAAAAGAGAGAGAGAGGAAGGGGACGGCGCACAGGCCCAGCUCCUCAAGCUCGCCGGAGUUGAGCGGAGGAGGUGCAACGGUGCACGGUUUUCGAUUCCGUUUGAACUGGGAGAAAGAGGAGAGCGAUGCGAGUCCAUUUCACCCCAUAAACGCGGUCGAGGAGGCGGUUUCCGAGAAGGUUCACGACGGCGCCAUACCGGAGUCCCUGGAGCUCGCGGCCAUGACGAAGGAACGCAUCGUUUCACAAAGAAAACGGACGAGAACGAAGCGGGGGAAGUGAGGAUCUCACCUACGCGAAGAAACGGGCGAGAAAGGCACGGCUUGACGGAAAUCGUGCGGAGGUCGCCGGCGGCGUUCUUCUGCGACUUCACAGAGCUCACGCGAGUUGAGAGAGAGCGAGGAGGAGAAAAUGAGAGGGGAGGAGCGGUUCAACGCGGCUACGGCCCACUUCAACCCGAGCGCAGGGGAGAGAGAGAGGUCGUGGGCGCGGGGGGUGCGGCUCGACGGUUAGCAGAGAGAGAGGAGCGGGGGCUUCGGUUUGGGGGCAGGGAUAGAGCUGACAAGUGGGCCCUACUCGUCAGCUGCUAGAGAGAGAGGGAGUUAGGGUGCUGGCGGGCUGCUGGAAUUGGGCCAAGCAGGCCGAAAAUGAGGGGGAAGGGAGAGAGAUGGAUUCCCCUUUUUUUAUUUUUUUUAACUUGUUUUCAACAGCAUUUACAAAUUUGAUUUUUGAACAAAAAUUUCUUUUGCAUAAAUUCACACAUCACAAAAAUUAAGUGCUGCAGCAUGAAUGCAUCAACGUGUUUCUAAUUUUCUAUUAAAUUUUAAUUUCCCAAAGUUUAUUUAUUUUCCUAUAUUUUUAUGCUCACAAAAUUAUUCAAUAAAAUCAAAUUCAUCUAUUUUUAAAAGAGCCAAAUUUUGGGUGUUACAAGUUUCUGAGUUAUGCCUGUUUAAAUUUAAGUUUCAGAAAUGGUUCCUCUGUGUCAAAUCCUGGAUCAGUUUCUGUAGUUGUGCAAUUUCGACCUACUAAACUUGUGAAUCAUGCUUUGAUGAUGAAAUAUAAAUUGUAGCAAUUUUCAUAAGCUUUCCAAAAUGUUAUGGAUCAUGACUUUUGGUGAUCUAGAACUCUGGUUAUAGAUGUAUAAAGCUUAAUGUCUGAUUCUGUCCAAGGUCUGGACAGAAUUGUUUAUUCAUUCUGUUUGGCCAUCUUAUCUAUUAAAUCAGUUCUCGAAGAUAAUAACAAAGUUGUAGAAAAUUAUCUAAGCUUUCCAGAAAGUCUAAUAUCUCCUUUAUUGGAUGCUUGGAUCUCUAAUUAUGGUUGAAUGAAGUUGUGUAUAUGCUGCUGUCCUGGUUAUGUGUGCAAAUAGAGUUUAUUGUUUUUAGCUAGCCUUUACUU